Molecule: ribosomal RNA, 440 nt
Filed under: uncultured bacterium
Lineage: Bacteria
Description: partial 16S ribosomal RNA
Rfam family: Bacterial small subunit ribosomal RNA
Source: RNAcentral
UCUACGGGAGGCAGCAGUAGGGAAUAUUGCUCAAUGGGGGAAACCCUGAAGCAGCAACGCCGCGUGGAGGAUGAAGGUUUUCGGAUUGUAAACCCCUUUUGUUAGAGAAGAUAAUGACGGUAUCUAACGAAUAAGCACCGGCUAACUCCGUGCCAGCAGCCGCGGUAAUACGGGGGGUGCGAGCGUUAAUCGGAAUCACUGGGAUUAAAGAGCGCGCAGGCGGGAUAGCAAGUCAGAUGUUAAAUCCUAGGGCUUAACCAUGGAACUGCAUUUUAAACUGGUAGUCUAGAGUAUGGUAGAGGUAGGUGGAAUUCUUGGUGUAGGGGUAAAAUCCGUAGAGAUCAAGAAGAAUACUCAUUGCGAAGGCAGCCUGCUGGAACAUAACUGACGCUGAUGCGCGAAAGCGUGGGGAGCAAACAGGAUUAGAUACCCCUGUAGUC